Molecule: long non-coding RNA, 1891 nt
Organism: Lutra lutra (Eurasian river otter)
Lineage: Eukaryota; Metazoa; Chordata; Mammalia; Carnivora; Mustelidae
Exons: 3
Source: RefSeq, a predicted model, not a curated record
GGGUGGUGGCCAGCUCGGUCCCUGGACACUUGCCUGAGCUGGCUGCAGAGGACUGUUCCUGCUUACGGAAGCGGCAAGGGAAUGAUGGGUUCCUUCCCAGGAGCUGGUGUGCAUGCAAGGGCAGGCGAGGAGAAGUGUGUGUUGGAAGGGCUGAGGUCCGGGAGCCGAGCCGCUCUGGGUUUGCAGUCUCCUCUCUCUCCAGCAGCCUGGUGAAGGCAGGUCAGGGAGUACAAUUUUGAGCUCUCUGAGAGGGCCCGGCGGUUGCUGGAACUAUCAGCUGGCCACGGGAGGCCAAGGGGACCAAAGCCCCCGGUCAAGGCUAUGCUGACCAAGGAGGCCUCUCUGACUGCUGCCCUUGCUGCGUCACGCCUGGGGGAUCUGUCUCUGCCAAAACCACACAGAGAGGAAGCUGCUGAGACAAAGAGCCCACCUGGAGUUUGGAAGCUAACCCACCCUGGGAAGGAUAACGUUAAAGAUGAAGAAGAAGAGGGAGGAAAAGGAGAAGAAGGGGCAACAGAGAUGACAUCUGGCCUGUAAAUCCUAAACUAUUUGCUAUUUGGGACCUGGCCCUUUCCAGAGAAGACUGUUGCCCCGAGCUGGUACCCCACAGCAUCGUUCUGAGCUCCCCAACGUUGUGUUACAUUCUGACCAUAUCCACAGUGAGCCCCGGCAUGGUCUCUGACUCUCUUUGAACCAGGCCUCUUCCAAGAGUGCACUUCUCGAUUAAACACUCAGUGAAUCCAUCCUGUGCAUGAAGACAGGGAUGCUAGUGGGGAUUGGAAAAUCCUUGGCUGAACCUUCAGGUCUGAGGAAACCUUGGGCCAGCUGCCCGGCAGGCGGGCCCCUGGCCUGCUUCCUCACUUUCCUGGCUGUGAAGGGAGGAUGAGCAAUUCUGGCCUCAGAAUGGAGAAAAACGAAAGAGGGGAAUCUGAUCAGGGUUCCUGAGAUGCUGGCAGGGGGUUCCGAGACUUCUUCGAAGGAAGAACCAGUGUGAAUCCCAGACAACUCGAGCGUCUUCGCAAGUCUCAGAGCUCCCAGUCUUAAGCUCAGGGAAAUACCCCUUCUCUUGAAGUCACACCAGAUGUGUGAAUGCACGGCCAACAUCUAAUCUAAUGUCUUUUCGUGUCUCAGUUCUCUACCCGGAUGGCGAAUGCCCUGACGCCGGGUCUGGAGCUCCUGUUUCCCUAGAACCUUCUCUGAGCAUCUGGUGGCACCUGGCUUCUCUUCGGAUUUGCUUCCUGUCUGACUCGAAUGUUAAUAAAAGACCCUGAAAGGAAAGAGGCUUCUGGAAGAGUCUCCUAGGGAGGAAGAGCCUUCUCUCUGCCCCCAGAACAAUCUCGGGGCCCCAGCUAGCUGGGAGGGCCGCACCGCCUCAGGUGGGGGUGGGGGGGGUUGGGGGAACCCAGGCCUGACUGCUCAGGGGUUCUCUCCCUUCCUUUUAGAAGUCAAACACUUCCCUGCGCCUGCAUCUUCAGCCUGGGACCCUGUUCAGUGCUCCUGAAAACAGCCCGAGGGGUCAUUCCUUCUGGGCCACUCAAGAGAAUUCUGUCAGCCAACCUGUCUUGCCAUCAUGCCCCUGAGGGAAACCUUGGAUGUGAUCCGGGAGGCAGCCCCAGGGGACAGGGAGGCCCAGAGGGCUGGGGCUGGGGAUGGGGUUGGCUCUGGGUGAGAAGCCCAGCUCUAGGACAUUCUCACCAUCAUACUGCCUUUCAGCCAGUCUCCUGGGGCCACCCCCCACCCCCUUUCAUUUUAUUGAUUGGAGAUAGUGUCCCUGAAUAGAGCUUAAUGUCCUUUGGAAAUUAUCUGUUCUUUCUCUUUCUUUAAAAAAAUGUUUCCUGCUUCUUCCCUUUGGUUUAGGUCACUGUAUCCCCAACUGCUGAAGGUGCAUGGG